UACGGGGGGGGCAAGCGUUGUUCGGAAUUACUGGGCGUAAAGGGCGCGUAGGCGGUGCUCUAAGUUAUAUGUGAAAACUCUGGGCUCAACCCAGAGCCUGCAUCUAAAACUGGAGUGCUAGAGUUCUGGAGGGGGUAGCGGAAUUCCUGGUGUAGCGGUGAAAUGCGUAGAUAUCAGGAGGAACACCGGUGGCGAAGGCGGCUACCUGGACAGAAACUGACGCUGAGGCGCGAAAGCUAGGGGAGCAAACAGG
RNAcentral lists this ribosomal RNA (253 nucleotides) under uncultured bacterium. Its description in RNAcentral is "partial 16S ribosomal RNA". It matches the Rfam family "Bacterial small subunit ribosomal RNA", at positions 524 to 776 of the family's 1533-position model. The record is from RNAcentral.